UACGUAGGGGGCUAGCGUUGUCCGGAAUCAUUGGGCGUAAAGAGCGUGUAGGCGGUCCGGUAAGUCCGCUGUGAAAGCCGGGGGCUCAACCCUCGAAUGCCGGUGGAUACUGUCGGGCUAGAGUGCGGAAGAGGCGAGUGGAAUUCCUGGUGUAGCGGUGAAAUGCGCAGAUAUCAGGAGGAACACCUAUUGCGAAGGCAGCUCGCUGCGACGUAACUGACGCUGAGACGCGAAAGCGUGGGGAGCAAACAGG
This 253-nucleotide ribosomal RNA is filed under the name uncultured bacterium. RNAcentral's name for it is "partial 16S ribosomal RNA". It matches the Rfam family "Bacterial small subunit ribosomal RNA", at positions 524 to 776 of the family's 1533-position model. The record is from RNAcentral.